RNAcentral lists this ribosomal RNA (654 nucleotides) under Salmonella enterica subsp. enterica serovar Augustenborg. RNAcentral describes it as "partial 23S ribosomal RNA". It matches the Rfam family "Bacterial large subunit ribosomal RNA", at positions 572 to 1190 of the family's 2925-position model. Lineage: Bacteria; Pseudomonadati; Pseudomonadota; Gammaproteobacteria; Enterobacterales; Enterobacteriaceae. The record is from RNAcentral.
GCGCGACAGCGCAAAGGCAGGCGGUUUCGCGUAGCGAAAGCGAAUGCUUUGGGGUGGGGUGACUGCGUACCUUUUGUAUAAUGGGUCAGCGACUUAUAUUCUGUAGCAAGGUUAACCGAAUAGGGGAGCCGGAGGGAAACCGAGUCUUAACCGGGCGUUAAGUUGCAGGGUAUAGACCCGAAACCCGGUGAUCUAGCCAUGGGCAGGUUGAAGGUUGGGUAACACUAACUGGAGGACCGAACCGACUAAUGUUGAAAAAUUAGCGGAUGACCUGUGGCUGGGGGUGAAAGGCCAAUCAAACCGGGAGAUAGCUGGUUCUCCCCGAAAGCUAUUUAGGUAGCGCCUCGUGAAUUCAUCUCCGGGGGUAGAGCACUGUUUCGGCUAGGGGGCCAUCCCGGCUUACCAACCCGAUGCAAACUGCGAAUACCGGAGAAUGUUAUCACGGGAGACACACGGCGGGUGCUAACGUCCGUCGUGAAGAGGGAAACAACCCAGACCGCCAGCUAAGGUCCCAAAGUCAUGGUUAAGUGGGAAACGAUGUGGGAAGGCCCAGACAGCCAGGAUGUUGGCUUAGAAGCAGCCAUCAUUUAAAGAAAGCGUAAUAGCUCACUGGUCGAGUCGGCCUGCGCGGAAGAUGUAACGGGGCUAAACCAU